CCUACGGGUGGCAGCAGUGAGGAAUAUUGGUCAAUGGACGAGAGUCUGAACCAGCCAAGUAGCGUGAAGGAUGACUGCCCUAUGGGUUGUAAACUUCUUUUAUAAAGGAAUAACACGACUUACGUGUGCCUUUUUGCAUGUACUUUAUGAAUAAGGACCGGCUAACUCCGUGCCAGCAGCCGCGGUAAUACGGAGGAUCCGAGCGUUAUCCGGAUUUAUUGGGUUUAAAGGGAGCGUAGAUGGGUUGUUAAGUCAGUUGUGAAAGGUUGCGGCUCAACCGGAAAAUUGCAAUUGAUACUGGCAGGCUUGAGGACAGUGGAGGUAGGCGGAAUUCGUGGUGUAGCGGUGAAAUGCUUAGAUAUCACGAAGAACCCCGAUUGCGAAGGCAGCUUACUAAACUGUGACUGACAUUGAUGCUCGAAAGUGUGGGUAUCAAACAGGAUUAGAUACCCGAGUAGUC
Molecule: ribosomal RNA, 460 nt
Filed under: uncultured bacterium
Lineage: Bacteria
Description: partial 16S ribosomal RNA
Rfam family: Bacterial small subunit ribosomal RNA
Source: RNAcentral